This 339-nucleotide long non-coding RNA is filed under the name Setaria viridis. RNAcentral's name for it is "long non-coding RNA (SVIR_LNC004864)". The record is from RNAcentral. Lineage: Eukaryota; Viridiplantae; Streptophyta; Magnoliopsida; Poales; Poaceae.
UUGGAGCAAGCUAAAAUCUUAGUUAGAUAUGACAUGAAUUAUUACAACUAUUCCUAAAAACUAUGAAAGACAAACAUCCAUGCUUUCCCUUAUUUGGUGUAGUCGAUUUCACUUUGGACUGGGCCCGCUUGGUCUUCCAUCAGCUUCUGGAACCCUGGUCAACAGUGGCCAGUCUUGGUCAACACGAUGUCAUCAACAGACCCUGUUCUCUCUCCUUCAUCGGCUAUCAGAACCUUAUCCACAACGGUUGACUCUAGUCAAAAACCGGUGUCAACACAUGCCCCCCAAUUUUGUAAUAUAAUAUUAUGUUCCAAAAUUCUCUUCUCUUAUCAACAUCUU